UACGUAGGGGGCAAGCGUUGUCCGGAAUCAUUGGGCGUAAAGAGCGCGUAGGCGGCCCUGUAAGUCCGCUGUGAAAGUCAAGGGCUCAACCCUUGGAUGCCGGUGGAUACUGCAGGGCUAGAGUCCGGAAGAGGCGAGUGGAAUUCCUGGUGUAGCGGUGAAAUGCGCAGAUAUCAGGAGGAACACCGGUGGCGAAGGCGGAUCUCUGGGCCUUACCUGACGCUCAGGCGCGAAAGCUAGGGGAGCGAACUGG
This 253-nucleotide ribosomal RNA is filed under the name uncultured bacterium. RNAcentral's name for it is "partial 16S ribosomal RNA". It matches the Rfam family "Bacterial small subunit ribosomal RNA", at positions 524 to 776 of the family's 1533-position model. The record is from RNAcentral.